UACGUAGGGGGCGAGCGUUGUCCGGAUUCAUUGGGCGUAAAGGGCGCGUAGGCGGCCUGGUGCGUCGCGCGUGAAAUCUCCCGGCUCAACUGGGAGGGGUCGUGCGAUACGGCUAGGCUGGAGGCUGGCAGGGGGCAGCGGAAUUCCCGGUGUAGUGGUGGAAUGCGUAGAGAUCGGGAGGAACACCAGUGGCGAAGGCGGCUGCCUGGACCAAGCCUGACGCUGAGGCGCGAAAGCGUGGGGAGCGAUCCGG
RNAcentral lists this unclassified non-coding RNA (253 nucleotides) under uncultured Chloroflexota bacterium. Its description in RNAcentral is "uncultured Chloroflexi bacterium contains 16S-23S intergenic spacer region". It matches the Rfam family "Bacterial small subunit ribosomal RNA", at positions 524 to 776 of the family's 1533-position model. The record is from RNAcentral. Lineage: Bacteria; Bacillati; Chloroflexota.